This 22-nucleotide microRNA is filed under the name Callithrix jacchus (white-tufted-ear marmoset). RNAcentral describes it as "cja-miR-891c". Its record names the gene cja-miR-891c. The record is from miRBase by way of RNAcentral. Lineage: Eukaryota; Metazoa; Chordata; Mammalia; Primates; Cebidae.
CUGCAGCAGACCUGUGCACUGA